This 326-nucleotide ribosomal RNA is filed under the name uncultured eukaryote. RNAcentral's name for it is "partial 18S ribosomal RNA". It matches the Rfam family "Eukaryotic small subunit ribosomal RNA", at positions 1470 to 1796 of the family's 1831-position model. The record is from RNAcentral.
CCCUUAGAUGUUCUGGGCCGCACGCGCGCUACACUGAUGCAUUCAACAAGCCUAGCCUUGACCGAGAGGUCCGGGUAAUCUUUGAAACUGCAUCGUGAUGGGGCUAGAUUAUUGCAAUUAUUAAUUUUCAACGAGGAAUGCCUAGUAAGCGUGAUUCAUCAAAUCGCGUUGAUUACGUCCCUGCCCUUUGUACACACCGCCCGUCGCUCCUACCGAUUGAAUGUGUUGGUGAGGAGCUCGGAUUGGCAGCAGUUGGUGGUUCGCCACCGGCUAUUGCUGAGAAGUCCUCCAAACCGCCCCAUUUAGAGGAAGGAGAAGUCGUAACA